CGCUGGCGGCAUGCCUAACACAUGCAAGUCGAACGAGAAAGUUCCUUCGGGAGCAAUUAAAGUGGCGCACGGGUGAGUAACGCGUAGACAAUCUGCCCUUCAGUCUGGGACAACUUUUCGAAAGGAGAGCUAAUACCGGAUAACAAUGCAUGACACAAGUUGUAUAUUUGAAAGCUUUAUGUGCUGAAGGAGGGGUCUGCGUCCCAUUAGCUAGUUGGUAAGGUAAAGGCUUACCAAGGCAACGAUGGGUAGCGGGUUUGAGAGGACGAUCCGCCACACUGGAACUGAGACACGGUCCAGACUCCUACGGGAGGCAGCAGUGGGGAAUAUUGCACAAUGGAGGAAACUCUGAUGCAGCAAUGUCGCGUGAGUGAAGAAGGCCCUUGGGUCGUAAAGCUCUUUUAUGGGGGAAGAUGAUGACGGUACCCCAAGAAUAAGCACCGGCUAACUAUGUGCCAGCAGCCGCGGUAAUACAUAGGGUGCGAGCGUUGUUCGGAAUUACUGGGCGUAAAGGGCGCGCAGGCGGAAUAGUAAGUCGGAGGUGAAAGCCCGGGGCUCAACCCCGGAGGGUCUUUCGAAACUACUAAUCUAGAGAGGGUCAGGGGCCGGCAGAAUUCCUGGUGUAGAGGUGAAAUUCGUAGAUAUCAGGAGGAAUACCGGUGGCGAAGGCGGCCGGCUGGGGCCACUCUGACGCUGAGGCGCGAAAGCGUGGGGAGCAAACAGGAUUAGAUACCCUGGUAGUCCACGCCGUAAACGAUGAGCACUGGACGUCCGGAGGGUUCGACCCUUCUGGGUGUCUCAGCUAACGCAUUAAGUGCUCCGCCUGGGGAGUACGGUCGCAGACUACCUAUAAAGGGAUGCG
This 862-nucleotide ribosomal RNA is filed under the name delta proteobacterium SCGC AAA240-N20. RNAcentral's name for it is "SSU rRNA". It matches the Rfam family "Bacterial small subunit ribosomal RNA", at positions 34 to 913 of the family's 1533-position model. Lineage: Bacteria; Deltaproteobacteria. The record is from RNAcentral.